AGCGGUGGAUGAUGUGGUUAAUUCGAUGCAACGCGAAAACCUUACCACCGUUGACAUGUACGGAACCCUUUAGAGAUAGAGGGGUGCUCGAAAGAGAGCCGUAACACAGGUGCUGCAUGGCUGUCGUCAGCUCGUGUCGUGAGAUGUUGGGUUAAGUCCCGCAACGAGCGCAACCCUUGUCAUUAGUUGCUACAUUCAGUUGGGCACUCUAAUGAGACUGCCGGUGACAAGCCGGAGGAAGGUGGGGAUGACGUCAAGUCCUCAUGGCCCUUAUAGGUGGGGCUACACACGUCAUACAAUGGCUGGUACAAAGGGUUGCCAACCCGCGAGGGGGAGCCAAUCCCAUAAAGCCAGUCGUAGUCCGGAUCGUAGUCUGCAACUCGACUACGUGAAGUCGGAAUCGCUAGUAAUCGUGGAUCAGAAUGUCACGGUGAAUACGUUCCCGGGUCUU
This 451-nucleotide ribosomal RNA is filed under the name uncultured Rhodoferax sp. Its description in RNAcentral is "bacterial SSU rRNA". It matches the Rfam family "Bacterial small subunit ribosomal RNA", at positions 928 to 1382 of the family's 1533-position model. Lineage: Bacteria; Pseudomonadati; Pseudomonadota; Betaproteobacteria; Burkholderiales; Comamonadaceae. The record is from RNAcentral.